AAUGGCGCUAAUAAACUGCGUGUCGGCGAAAGCAUCGAAAGCAUCGUGCGAGGUACCGUGUGAUCUUCAUAACGGUGAUUGUCGUCGUACUCACCAUUGUAUCGGUUGUUACACCGCGAGUAUCGUGAGAGUUCGUUCGACCGAAUUCGUCGCAAGAGCGACGGCGUCAGUGAUCCGUCGGCAGUCGGUCGAUCGCAUUUUUCGAUCCGCCGGUGUUUAUUUUUUGGUCUCUAAUUCGUAUGUUUAUCAGCGUACGUGAGAAGUCGCGGACGUGAUAGUCGCUCGGAGACGUGCGUUUGUUGUGUGUCAGCAACGGUUGCGGUCACCGGACCAAGGAUUAGAUCGCUCGCGCCGCGGCGAGGUAAAGGUGUCGCAUGAAGGUAUCCGCGCGUACCUAUCGUUCGAGAGUCGUCGUCCGUCGGCUAACGUCAUUGCUAUUGGAUGCCGAGUGACGCAGAGAUCGCAGCUCGUUUGUCGUUUCGCGUUAAUUUCCCGUUGUCGCGACGUAAUAAAUUGCGCAUCGCGCACAUCGGAAGCGUCUGGCAAGUGUAAGUCGCCGCGCGAUCUUUAUAUCGAAGUGAUUAGCGCCGUAUGUACCGGCACCUCGUUAGAUCGCGAAUUUCGUUCGAAGCUCGUCGUGCGAACGACGUCGUCAGUGGUCCAGCGCCGUCGGUCGAUCGCAUUUUUCAAUCCGCGGCUGUUUGUUUUCGGUCUGGAUUCGUAUGUUUAUCAGCGAACGUGAGAACGCGGACAUAGUAAUCGUCCGGAGCAACGCGUGUUGCGUGCGAGCAACGGCCGCGACUGCCCGGUCGACAGGUUAUGAUGCGUCGCGCGGCGCGGCGUAAAUGUGAUCGCGCGGACAUACUCCUGCGCUCGAGAUUCGUCGUCUACCGCGGAGUGCCGUCCAGGAUGUCGCGCGAUUAUCGAGGUGAUUAUUGCUAACAAUAAGCAGUAGUGUUUUCGUGAGUGCGAGUGCCAUAAAAAAGCGGGAACAAGAGAGGAGGAGGAGGAGGACCUGGGGGGCACCAGGCAACAGCGGAGCAACCACGAGGUCGAGAGAGACGUUGAAAACUCCGCUGCUGCGCAUCGUGUGCCGAGUUCUACACAGGGAAAGUAGCAGAAGCAUCUCAACGAAUCUCGAAGAAUACAAAUUAAGGUGAGUCUGAUAUUAAUUAUUAAAUGUCCAAAUGUAGAAGAGUACGAGUGCGCAAAGAUCACUGUAAAACAUCUCGAGUGAAGCGAUUUCAAAUUAUUUCAUCCUGCCUUCGUAUAUCGUGUCUCGCGAGAAUUCCUUGUUUGCAACAGCUGUGCAUUUCGGUCCCGCGAUGAAGGAACGGCAACCGUGCGACGGAUUAUCUUUUUCGGGCCGCAGGAAGAUCGACGAGACCAAGAAGUUUCGACUCGAGGUUCCUCGCAGAGGAGGGGACCGGCGCGGCGCGGCGCGGCGCGGCGUUCUUCGUGGCUGGAAAUAAUAACACUCGCGCGGGGAUCGUA
Molecule: long non-coding RNA, 1494 nt
Organism: Solenopsis invicta (red fire ant)
Lineage: Eukaryota; Metazoa; Arthropoda; Insecta; Hymenoptera; Formicidae
Exons: 3
Source: RefSeq, a predicted model, not a curated record